UGCAUAACAAUAUCUAACAUGUUACAGAAUAAUUUUAAGGCGGGUACAAAAUGAAUUUUAAAGUUGGUACAAAAUGAACAAAGCAGACAGAGGAGGAGAUCAUAUUAGGAUAGUCCAUAAGAUGUAUGCUUUGAUAAUCUGACCGAGGAAUAGAUCAUAGAAUAAAUAAUAUUCAAAAUGAAUCAGAAAUUAUAGUAUCCUGAAUAAUCUAACCAAUCUCUAACUCAAUACAGAAAUAAUUUGAACAAUAAAUCCGUAUACAUCAAAUUGAGUUCCAAAAUACCAAAAUCAUACACAUCAUUCCAGAAUCUACAAAAUAAUAUUGAAACAACAAAUCAUAAUUAUAUAGGUUUUUUAAUAAAUGAAAUUAAACAUGUCAAAGGAGGAAAGUUAAAUAUUAAAGACCAACACAAAAAGUAACAAAAUGAGAUUUUAAAGAUCAAAUUUUUAGGUCAAAAAAGUAACAAAUACAACCUAUAUAUAUUGAAAGAUACAAAAAAGUAUUAAAGUAAACAUUUUUAAGACAAAAAAUGACAAAGUAGCUUAGUAUAGAAGUAUACAAAAUGAACCACACAUUAGAGUAUAUCUCAAUCAUCUAAAUCAUGUGUAACUCAAUAGAAUUAAUUUGAACAAUAAAUAAAGAACAUCAAACUGCAUUCAAAAAUAUCAAAAUCAUAAACACCAAUCCAAAAGCAACAAAACAUAAUUGAG
RNAcentral lists this long non-coding RNA (711 nucleotides) under Lupinus angustifolius (narrow-leaved blue lupine). RNAcentral describes it as "long non-coding RNA (LANG_LNC000537)". Lineage: Eukaryota; Viridiplantae; Streptophyta; Magnoliopsida; Fabales; Fabaceae. The record is from RNAcentral.